RNAcentral lists this non-coding RNA (32 nucleotides) under Homo sapiens (human). Lineage: Eukaryota; Metazoa; Chordata; Mammalia; Primates; Hominidae. The record is from RNAcentral.
UGACUCAUUGGCCUGUAUACUGAUGUAAUGUC